This is a long non-coding RNA of Thalassophryne amazonica, 250 nucleotides long. RefSeq lists it as uncharacterized. The transcript has 4 exons. NCBI's taxonomy places the organism in Eukaryota, Metazoa, Chordata, Actinopteri, Batrachoidiformes, Batrachoididae. The record is from RefSeq and is a predicted model, not a curated record.
GCCGUGUAGCCGCCAGUCCCUCAACCCAUGCACCCAGCCGUCGGACAUUGGAAGACUCAUAUAUUGAGGAACAAACAUCAUCCCAGGCAGUUGAGGGAAUGACCCAUGGCGAAGAGGAGGGGGCUUCAGGCAUGGCUGUCCUAAUAAAGCAUAAUCAUGGAGGAAACGAAGAGGCUCCUAUUGAGAACAACAGAUGAUUUAAAAAGUACAAUGGAAGAGCACAUGGGGCGUAUGACAAGGAGGAUGGAGG